This 303-nucleotide ribosomal RNA is filed under the name uncultured Mycoplasmatota bacterium. RNAcentral's name for it is "bacterial SSU rRNA". It matches the Rfam family "Bacterial small subunit ribosomal RNA", at positions 28 to 351 of the family's 1533-position model. Lineage: Bacteria; Bacillati; Mycoplasmatota. The record is from RNAcentral.
GACGAACGCUGGCGGCAUGCCUAAUACAUGCAAGUCGAACGAACACCUUCGGGUGUUAGUGGCGAACGGGUGAGUAACACGUGAGUAACCUAGCUAUUAGCCGAGGAUAACUACUGGAAACGGUAGCUAAUACUGGAUAGGACGAAAGUUUAAAGAUCCUACGGGAUCACUAAUAGAGGGGCUUGCGGCGCAUUAGCUAGUUGGUAGGGUAAAGGCCUACCAAGGCGACGAUGCGUAGCCGACCUGAGAGGGUGACCGGCCACACUGGGACUGAGACACGGCCCAGACUCCUACGGGAGGCAG